This is a long non-coding RNA of Amphibalanus amphitrite, 1242 nucleotides long. RefSeq lists it as uncharacterized. Lineage: Eukaryota; Metazoa; Arthropoda; Thecostraca; Balanomorpha; Balanidae. The record is from RefSeq and is a predicted model, not a curated record. The transcript is spliced from 3 exons.
GAGCGGCGGAGAUGGCCGACCUGCGUGGUGCCCGCCGCGCCGCACCAUUGAUCUGCCCCGUCGGCGGCGACGGCGCUCUCGUGCCGUCGGCGGCGGCGCGGCACGUGCCAGACGGGGGUGGCGCGCCGGCCGACCGACCGCUCCGCUCUCCCCCGGCCGCGCCUUUGUCGACGGCCACCGGCGCGCCUCAUUAGGCAGCACAAACAGAAACACUUGUCUGGCCGCUAUCUGCCGUUGCCAUGACGACGCCAGGUGUGCCACUGGAGACCGCCGCCGCCGCACAGGGGUUUUAGCCAGCGCCGACCGGGGACAAAGGAAACGGCGUGGAGAGCAGAGCGGAAAUUGGACUAUUCGCAGAGCUGAGUGGAGAGAGCGCCGCCAAGAGGCUGUCAGAGAGGGGAGAAGAGGCCUACAUCCGCCACCGUCCAGAAUAAAUCAACGAAUAUGUCCAAGCGGAAGAGGUUGUCGCGGCACCCGCCGAUGCGCCGGCCGGUUGGUCCGCCGCUCCGGGAGGUGACGGCUGACACGGCAGUGACCGCGCUGAAGGAGGUGACACCCGACGCGGCAGUGACAGGGGUGACACCGCUGAAGACGGUAGUGCUUAUGAACGGCGCUGCCACCGCAGUGACCACGCCCAAACAGGCACCGAAACAGACCCCGAAGGGAGUGCCGCAGAAGGUGGUCACAGAAGAAAAACAGGACCAGCUCCAGCAAGCCCCUUCUAAACAAGCUCCAACAGUACCUGUGCCAGCGGCAGUAGCAAUGCCGGUACCAGUAGCAGCAGCAGAAGCCACAGCAAUACCGGUCACUUCGAAUCCGGGAAUAAAGCUAGCGAGCGAAGAAGCUGCUUGCAAUAAUCAUUCAUCACAAAACAAGACCACGGCAGCCAAGUCGGACGCAGAUGACACGAAAUGCAGCCCAAUUACCGAACCUUCCCUGCAAGGAAGUAAGGAUAUUGCAGAGAAAAUGCCGGCGUCCGAGCCAGCCAGGGCUGCAUCCCCCACCCUCAAACCGCUCAAAGAACAGAUGGACACCUCAGACGACCUCGUUGAAGAGCCGGAGGCUCCGGUCCCCUCACCAGGCGUCGGCACACAAACCGACGAGUCGUCCAUGGCGCCCCUGAUGACGUCAGACACCGUAAUGACGUCACAAGACCAGCAGAUGCAGCACGCGACAGCACCAGCUCCCAGGGUAGAUCCAGUCGAGACUGCAGCCACCUAACUUCUGGGACAUCGCGCCGCG